This 294-nucleotide long non-coding RNA is filed under the name Elaeis guineensis (African oil palm). Its description in RNAcentral is "long non-coding RNA (EGUI_LNC039319)". The record is from RNAcentral. Lineage: Eukaryota; Viridiplantae; Streptophyta; Magnoliopsida; Arecales; Arecaceae.
UCCUAAAACCCUUAGAAAUCGUAUUAUACUCGUAUAAAUUAAUUCUGACUGUUAGAUUGCAUUUGGACCACCCAGAUCUGAUCAAAAAUCAGUUGUUUUCUCCUUGUCAGGGUCAGAUUCAUUCUCAACCAUCCGAUCACACUCCAAAUUGAAUUCUAGCCAUCGAAUGGUGCAAAAUCUCUCCUUAACAAAGUCGGGAUGAACAAUAACCAUUGGAUCGAGUGAUGGAUGGAAUCUGGGCCAUCGGAUCGCACCCAAAAAUCCUAUUCAAAGUCAGAAAUAAUGCUGGCCAUC